RNAcentral lists this non-coding RNA (24 nucleotides) under Arabidopsis thaliana (thale cress). The record is from RNAcentral. Lineage: Eukaryota; Viridiplantae; Streptophyta; Magnoliopsida; Brassicales; Brassicaceae.
AGGCGUUGCUCGUGGAAUGGCUCC